Molecule: long non-coding RNA, 522 nt
Filed under: Brassica napus (rape)
Lineage: Eukaryota; Viridiplantae; Streptophyta; Magnoliopsida; Brassicales; Brassicaceae
Description: long non-coding RNA (BNAP_LNC022454)
Source: RNAcentral
GGCCGGAUCUAGUACCAAAUUUAAAGUACAAAACCAUUGAAAGUGUUGUAGUAGUUAUUAUUUAAUUGCUGUUCAAAAAGUGAUUAUUUAAUCAAUUAAACUAUAGGGCAUUGUGGAUAACCAUAAACACAAGCUAAGUGGGGGUUAUUGGUUGGUGUAUUUUGAUGGAUUUGAAAAUCCAAACUAAAUCUAGUGUUAUUGGUUCUGUGAUUUUAAAAUAUGUAUUGAAAUCAUGUGUUAUUCGUUUAAUGAUUCAUAAAUUCUAAUUCAAAUCAAGUGUUAUUCAAUCAUACGGAUUUACUAAUAGAUUUGAUUUCAUAAUGUAUUUAAAUGGAUUUGCAUAGAUUUUUUUGUUAAAAAUACAAAGGCUCAAAUCCGAGGGAAAACCUCCGGAUUUGUAAAUACUAAUCCGAGAGAAUUUACAAAUUUGUAUAUUUUACUUGGAUUUAUAAAUACUGUAUGGAUUUCUAAAUCAAUCAAAAUAUAUAAACCAAUAACGCCUCCUAAGUCGUUGAUACAUUA